RNAcentral lists this ribosomal RNA (305 nucleotides) under uncultured bacterium. Its description in RNAcentral is "bacterial SSU rRNA". It matches the Rfam family "Bacterial small subunit ribosomal RNA", at positions 338 to 641 of the family's 1533-position model. The record is from RNAcentral.
CCUACGGGGGGCAGCAGUGAGGAAUAUUGGUCAAUGGCCGCAGGGCUGAACCAGCCAAGUCGCGUGAGGGAUGACGGUCCUAUGGAUUGUAAACCUCUUUUGUCAGGGAGCAAAGGGCGCCACGUGUGGCGUUUUGCGAGUACCUGAAGAAAAAGCAUCGGCUAACUCCGUGCCAGCAGCCGCGGUAAUACGGAGGAUGCGAGCGUUAUCCGGAUUUAUUGGGUUUAAAGGGUGCGUAGGCGGAAUGCUAAGUCAGCGGUAAAAUCGGGGGGCUCAACCUCGUUCGGCCGUUGAAAUUGGCGUUU